This 191-nucleotide microRNA precursor is filed under the name Oryza brachyantha (malo sina). RNAcentral's name for it is "MIR812 microRNA precursor family". It matches the Rfam family "MIR812 microRNA precursor family". Lineage: Eukaryota; Viridiplantae; Streptophyta; Magnoliopsida; Poales; Poaceae. The record is from Rfam by way of RNAcentral.
AAUAAAUGAAUUUCUGUGUUUUUUUAAAAUUUUUGACUAUUCGUCUUAUUUAAAAAUUUUUAUGAUUAAAAUUUUUAUUGUUACUACAUGAUAAAACAUGAAUAGUACUUUAUGUGUGAUUAAUUUUUUUUAAUUUUUUAAUAAAUUUUUUAAAUAAGACGAAUGGUCAAACGUCGACCUAAAAAAUCCAG